Long non-coding RNA from Periophthalmus magnuspinnatus, 391 nucleotides. RefSeq lists it as uncharacterized. The transcript has 3 exons. NCBI's taxonomy places the organism in Eukaryota, Metazoa, Chordata, Actinopteri, Gobiiformes, Gobiidae. The record is from RefSeq and is a predicted model, not a curated record.
UUUUUCCGCUCCCCUUGGCCUUGGUGCACUGUCUCUUUAAAUGGGGCGCCACACCACGGCUCGCGAGUGUUGUGGGUCUCGGGAGUGUCUGAGCUGCUGCAGAUGCCUCCUGCUGUAUGACGAUGUGCUGAGAAUGACUAUUAAGCGGAACUGGCCAGGUUCCAGUAUUGGAUGGCGAGCUAGAAGGCCCCGAGCCUGGACAUAUUGAGUGCGCCCGUCCGCCGGUGCGGUAGGAGGCGCUGCAGCCACUCCCCACACACACCCACUUGCACACACGCACACUAACAACCUCCGCUGGUGGAUUGUUUGAACUUUGCGAGUUUUGCACAGACUGAAACCCAGGUUCACCAAACUUGACGAUCUGAACUCUUUGUGCGCCUAAGUGGAUCUA